UAAUACGAAGGGGGCGAGCGUUGUUCAGAAUCACUGGGCGUAAAACGUACGUAGGCGGCUAUGAAAGUCAGGAGUGAAAUCCCGGGGCUCAACCCUGGAACUGCUCUUGAAACUCCAUAGCUAGAGUCCCGGAGAGGUUGGCGGAAUUCCGAGUGUAGAGGUGAAAUUCGCAGAUAUUCGGAGGAAUACCAGUGGCGUAGGCGGCCAACUGGACGGGAACUGACGCUGAGGUACGAAAGCGUGGGGAGCAAACAGGAUUAGAUACCCUGGUAGUCCACGCCUUAAACGAUGUGUGCUAGCUGUUGGGUCCUUAAGGUCUCAGUGGCGCAGCUAACGCAUUAAGCACACCGCCUGGGGAGUACGGUCGCAAGAUUA
This 375-nucleotide ribosomal RNA is filed under the name uncultured Alphaproteobacteria bacterium. RNAcentral's name for it is "bacterial SSU rRNA". It matches the Rfam family "Bacterial small subunit ribosomal RNA", at positions 521 to 896 of the family's 1533-position model. Lineage: Bacteria; Pseudomonadati; Pseudomonadota; Alphaproteobacteria. The record is from RNAcentral.